GUACUGGCCUGGCAGGGGAGACACCAUGACCACAGAGGUGGUUUUCCCAGGGUGAGGCUUAUCCAUUGCACUCCAGAUAUGCUGACCCUGCGAUUUCUCCAAAUGUGGGAAACUCAAUUGCAUAACUUGUGGUAGUGGGGGACUAAGUUUGCUAUCUCCCCUA
This is a small nuclear RNA of Phyllostomus discolor (pale spear-nosed bat), 163 nucleotides long. RefSeq annotates it as U1 spliceosomal RNA. The record is from RefSeq and is a predicted model, not a curated record. The transcript has a single exon. Lineage: Eukaryota; Metazoa; Chordata; Mammalia; Chiroptera; Phyllostomidae.